Molecule: long non-coding RNA, 1080 nt
Filed under: Piliocolobus tephrosceles (Ugandan red Colobus)
Lineage: Eukaryota; Metazoa; Chordata; Mammalia; Primates; Cercopithecidae
Description: lncRNA (ENSPTEG00000023126.1)
Source: RNAcentral
AUGAGUAACGCACUAUCAUGCAAAAAUAAUAAGCCUAAAUCGAUUGAGAAAAUUUAUUGUAACCCGUUCACCAAUUCUAAAGAAGAUUAUUAUAAUGAAAAAACACAACGAAUAAUAUGUUCUAUAAUAGCUAGUAAAAACAUUAAAAAAAUAAACCAUGCAAGUUUUGAUUUAUUAUUUCAUUUUUUUAUGAAAAUAAUAAAUAUAAUUGGAGUAAAUUGUCAUAAAUUUUCUUCUUUAAGAGGUAGUGUAGUAGUAAAUUAUAUUGAUAUAAAAUAUUGCCUAAAAUUAGCUUUUAAUAGUUUAUAUAAUGAAAUAUAUAUGUUAAAAGAUUAUAAUAGUUUAUUUAAAAAUGUUUUAUUUGAUUUUAUUAAUCAAGAUGAAAGAAUUAAUAAAAAUCAUAAUUAUAUUAAUGUUAUACAAAAUUCUUAUUUAUUUUAUAAACAAUUAUGUAUGAAAAAAAAAGAGUUUUAUGAGUCAAUUAAUGAUUUUACAAAUGCUAAUUAUUUUAAUUUAGGCAAUUCUUCGUCUAAUGAAAAUGUAAAUGUUCUUUUCCUUGAUGAAAACAUUGAUAUUGAAAAGUAUAAAGAAAUUAUGAAAUUAAAAAAAAAAUAUAUGCAUGACCACAUGCCUAUUAUACCAUUAUCUUUAUAUAGGAAAGAAAAAAAAUUAGGAUAUUAUAAUGAAAAAAUAGAAUAUUACGAAGAUGAUGAUUUUGUAGAAAAAAACUCUUCAUCGACAUCAUCCUCUUCUUCAUCAUCAUCUUCUUCUUCUUCUUCUUCUUCUUCAUCUUUUAAAGAAUCAUCAGAUCAUUCAUUAAGUGAUAGUGAUAAUGAAAAUAUACAUGACAAUAAUAAAACUAAUUUUUUUAAUAAACAACAACGGCAACAAAAAAAAAAUGAUAGUUAUUUAAAUGAUGAAAUUGGGAAUGAAAAAAUUGAAGUAUUAAAACUUAUCCCCAAAGUGAAAGAUAUAUAUAUGCAAACUGUAAAAAAUAAAUACGAAUUGGAACAAAAUAAUGAAAAUAUAUUGAAUUCGUUAAAUAUUUUUGAUUUGCAAAAUUAUGAACAAAAAUUGUGA